Molecule: long non-coding RNA, 3127 nt
Organism: Callithrix jacchus (white-tufted-ear marmoset)
Lineage: Eukaryota; Metazoa; Chordata; Mammalia; Primates; Cebidae
Source: RefSeq, a predicted model, not a curated record
CUCAAGAACACUGUACUUUGCGUUAGCCCGGCCUGUCCUGAGAGACUGCGGGAGGCGAAGGGAACGCGCUGUGGCUGCGGGAAGCGCCGGGACGGGGCAGUCAGGCCGGAGGGCGCUUCGCGAGGGAAAGGGCUGCGUGUGCUUCAGAAUCACCUGGGAUGAUCUGAAUAAAGAUUUGUGGCCUCUACCAAAAACUGAAGCAGAAAGGGAGCAAGAAGAUGAGGAAUGCUUAAGAAACUGCAUUAACAAACUCUACAACAUACAGAAGCAUGGGAACUACUGCCUCAAGGACCUCAAGAAAUGAAGAUUCUCCUUCAUUCACUGGGUGGGGAAUGCAGAGGGGGAAGACCAGAGAUUCUGCAUAUCUAAAAUGCUUUCAGGUGAUGCCCAUGCUGCUGAUCUGAGGAUCACACUUGGAGUGGCAAGACCUUAGGCAGUUUCUUUGGAUACUUCGUUUUCCUUCCUAAAUUUUUGGUUUGUACAUGAGACAAAUUCUUACUAGUAUUAAAAACUGUAUUACAAUGUAGGACAAAAACUAUUACAAUAUAUAAUUUGGCUAAAGUUGCUUGCAAAAUAGGAAAAAUAAAGGAAAAAAACAGUACCUUUGUGUACAUAAUAAUCUUGGACUAUAGGUAUAAUGCUUUCAGAGAACUUCUUGGAGCUUCUAAUGUAUAGUCACAGCUAAAAAGCCUAUUCCUAGACCAUGGGACUUUCAAAAGAAAGAACUGCAGCCAAACACUGGAGAUAAAGGUUUUUCUUCCAAGAGAAUUAUCAUCACCACUCCUUAUUCCUCCUAGAUUCUCCAUGUGUUUGUGUGCUACUGUGUUUUUAGAAGUAUGAUUUAGGUCCAGCUCUAUAAAGCAAUCAUCAUACAAAUUCUUUCAUUAGGGAGCUUAAGCAACAUGAAUCAGAAAAGCCGGGAGUUGUCAUAUGUAUUCCUUUUUCUUUUGUGAGACGGAGUCUCACUCUGUCACCAGGCUGAAGUGCAGUGACGUGAUCUCGGCUCACUGCAACCUCUGCCUGCUAGGUUCAGGUGAUUCUCCUGCCUCAGCCUUCUGCGUAGCUGGCACUACAGGCAUGCACCAUCAUGCCUAGCUAAUUUUUAUAUUUUUAGUAGAGAUGGGGUUUCACCAUGUUGGCCAGGAUGGUCUCAAUCUCCUGACCCUGUGAUCCGCCCGCCUCGGCCUCCCAAAGUGCUGGGAUUACAGGUGUGAGCCACCACGCCCGGCCAGGGAUUCCUUUUGCUUAAUCAGUAUAUACAAAUCCUUUUUUACACAGUUGCUCACCACGAAAAAUUUUUGUUUGAAACCUAGAAAGAUUAAGCAGUAAAGAGUUAAUAACCUAAUACUAAGCCAUCAAAAUACUAUUUAGUUCAAACUUCUUUUAAAACAAUGUAAAAAAAAAAUUUAAUGCUUAAAUAAUACAGCAAAUUCCCAAGCCCUAUAAAUAGGUCUAAGAAGCAGAAACUCAGAAAAUGCUGACUGACCUAUCUAAAUAGUUCAUUCUUCAAACAUUUUUUAAAAUGUCCUACCUGAUUCAUCAUUGAAGGAGGUAAAACUGAUCAGCAUUUGCACAUUGACUUCACCGCAGCCAUUUACCAAAAGCCUAAAAUCUUCUGCCGUUAAAUCUUCUAAUGAAUUUUUUGGAAGCACAUCUAGUAGACCUUUCCUCAUUGCCUAGAGAAUUUCAGAAUCAAUACUUCAUUUUCCAUGUAACAUUUAUAUUAAAGCACAAUAACUAAUUUUAGCAGCCUUCUCUAAGGAUGUUAGUUCCUAUUUUAAACCAGAGAGCAAACAAAAUUCAGUCUUGUAUUUUUUAUUUAAGAUUCAAAAGAGAGACAGGAAGUAGGGAGGAAAGGCACAAUGAAUAAGCUAUAGGUUCAAAAGUGAAGUAGAAUUAUGUACCAGUGGCUAACAAAAUUUUUAAAUUAUGUUAAUAAUAGGCUAGUCAUUAAGAAUAGCUUCAGUCUGUCAAAACUGCUAUCCUGUCAGCAUCUUAGGAAAGAUAGAGUGACAACAAUAAAUCUCCCAGACACAAACCCAAAAGCUAGAGGCUUACUGAGAAAUUACCAUGUGCCAGGAAUUGUUCUGAGAACCUUACCUAAUUCAAUUUAAUCUUAUCCUCAUUUUGCAAAGGAGGGACCCAAUGCACAGAAAACUUAAUGUGGUAACAUCGUACAGCUAUGGGGUGGUAGAGCCAUGAUCUGAGCUUGGACAGUAUGACUCCAAAGACUGCAAAAUUAUUGUAGCACAGGAUCAAACACUCGCCACCACCAGUCAUAAUCUACAUAAACAUCUCACCAGCCGGGCGUGGUGGCUCACGCAUGUAAUCCCAGCACUUUGGGAGCCCGAGGCGGACAGAUCACGAGGUUAACAGACUAUCCUGACCAACAUGGUGAGGAUAGAAGAUUAUUUUUGUCUCUACUAAAAAUACAGAAAUUGGCUGGGUGUGGAGGCGUGCUCCUGUAGCCCCAGCUACUCAGGAGGCUGACGCAGGAGAACUAAACCCAGGAGGUGGAGGUUGCAGUGAGCCAAGAUCGUGCCACUGCACUCCAGCCUGGUGACAGAGCAAGACUCCAUCUCAAGAAAAACAAAAAAACAUUUUACUCUGGAUGGGGAACAAAUUAACAUAGUAGGAUUGAUGUUACUCUUUAGAUGGGCCUGACUUUAGGGUUGGGGUUGGCAUUGGCUAGCGUCUGAGAACUUGCUUUUUGGAAUAUUCCAAUAUUACUAACUGACAGGGCUGGCUGGAGCUACGAACCGUGCUGUAUCAGACUACCUAGACUAUUUGUGCCAACAAUACAGUUCAAGAUGAGUAUGUGCUUUCUUCAGGGAUUCUGGAAUUUCAGUAAUCAUGGCUGGCUGUGCAGUCAGAAAAUGCCCAUGGAACUAGCCUCCAAUGAAAACAGCUCUGACUCCAAAGUGGGCUUCCCUAAGCACAAAUAACAUAUACAUGACGACAGAUCUCACUGGUGGAAGAAAUGCAUUCGAUGAAAUAGCUCAUGCCCCUCCUUGAGAGAGAACUUUGAAAGCCUGCACCUGGAUUCCUCUGCUGCCUAAAAUGUUUUUUCCCUGCUGAUCUUGCUGUGGGUCCUUUUGCUACAAUAAACAAUAACUAUUAAGUACAA